RNAcentral lists this ribosomal RNA (468 nucleotides) under uncultured bacterium. Its description in RNAcentral is "partial 16S ribosomal RNA". It matches the Rfam family "Bacterial small subunit ribosomal RNA", at positions 28 to 507 of the family's 1533-position model. The record is from RNAcentral.
GACGAACGCUGGCGGCGCGCCUAACACAUGCAAGUCGAACGGAGCUGAGAGAAGCUUGCUUUUCUUAGCUUAGUGGCGAACGGGUGAGUAACGCGUGAGUAACCUGCCCUGGAGUGGGGGACAACAGUUGGAAACGACUGCUAAUACCGCAUAAGCCCACGAUCCGGCAUCGGAUUGAGGGAAAAGGAUUUAUUCGCUUCAGGAUGGACUCGCGUCCAAUUAGCUAGUUGGUGAGGUAACGGCCCACCAAGGCGACGAUUGGUAGCCGGACUGAGAGGUUGAACGGCCACAUUGGGACUGAGACACGGCCCAGACUCCUACGGGAGGCAGCAAUGGGGGAUAUUGCACAGUGGGGGAAACCCUGAUGCAGCGACGCCGCGUGGAGGAAGAAGGUUUUCGGAUUGUAAACUCCUGUCGUUAGGGACGAUAAUGACGGUACCUAACAAGAAAGCACCGGCUAACUACGUG